UGUCCUCUAAAUAGGGACCAGCAUGAACGGCAACAUGAGAAAGUGCCUGUCUCUUUAGGCUAGUCAGUGAAACUGAUCUGCCUGUACAAAAGCAGGCAUAAAAAAACAAGACAAAAAGACCCUGUGAAACUUUAAGUGCCUUUCAACAUUAUGACUGGGCACUUUUCGGUUGGGGCAACCAAUGAGAAACAAACCUCAUAAAAUCACAAGGCACACAAGCCUAAUGAACACUAAAGAUCCAGUACUACUGAUCAAAGGACAAAGCUACUCCAGGGAUAACAGCGCCACAUUCUUUAAGAGUCCAUAUCAACAAGAAUACCUACGACCUCGAUGUUGGAUCAGGGCACCCCGAUGGCGCAGAAGCUAUUGAAGGUUCGUUUGUUCAACGAUUAAAGC
Molecule: ribosomal RNA, 396 nt
Filed under: Draco blanfordii
Lineage: Eukaryota; Metazoa; Chordata; Lepidosauria; Squamata; Agamidae
Description: 16S ribosomal RNA
Rfam family: Bacterial large subunit ribosomal RNA
Source: RNAcentral